Molecule: non-coding RNA, 165 nt
Organism: Podarcis lilfordi (Lilford's wall lizard)
Lineage: Eukaryota; Metazoa; Chordata; Lepidosauria; Squamata; Lacertidae
Source: the annotation of a GenBank genome assembly
CAAGCCUUGCGCGCCCGGGGGAGAUCCCCCGGGUGCGCAAGGCUUGCCGACAUCUGCGCGAAGCACAGGACGUCCUCCGGAGGGCGCCCUGUGCUCCGCGCUGCAGGCUGCCGCCCGCAAGCCGUGCGUGCCCAGAGGGAUCUCCCCCCGGGUGCGCAAGGCUUG